GAGUUUUUAGUAUAUAAGUACACUUACCUUCCAAGUAAAAAGAUUUCAAGUUGUAAAAAAACUCA
Molecule: transfer RNA, 65 nt
Filed under: Eisenia nordenskioldi nordenskioldi
Lineage: Eukaryota; Metazoa; Annelida; Clitellata; Crassiclitellata; Lumbricidae
Description: tRNA-Gly
Source: RNAcentral